GACGAACGCUGGCGGCGUGCUUAACACAUGCAAGUCGAACGGAAAGGCCCUGCUUUUGUGGGCUGCUCGAGUGUCGAACGGGUGAGUAACACUUGAGUAACCUGCCCUUGACUUUGGGAUAACUUCCGGAAACUGGGGCUAAUACCGGAUAGGCGCUCCUGCUGUAUGGUGGGGGUAGGGAAGUUUCGGCGGUUGGUGAUGGACUCGCGGCUUAUCAGCUUGUUGGUGGGGUAGGGACUUACCAAGGCUGUGACAGGUAGCCGGCCUGAGAGGGUGACGGGACAAAUAGGGACUGAGAUACGCACAAGACAAAUACGGGCAGCAGGGGUAGGGAAGGUUGCACACGGGGCGGAAGAAAGAUGGAGCAAGGCAGCGUGCGGGAGGACAGCCUUAGGGUUGUAAACCGCUUUCGCCUGAGAGGAAGGGGGAGUAAGGGUAAUGGGUAAGGAAGCACCGCCAAACUAGGU
This 467-nucleotide ribosomal RNA is filed under the name uncultured bacterium. RNAcentral describes it as "partial 16S ribosomal RNA". It matches the Rfam family "Bacterial small subunit ribosomal RNA", at positions 28 to 506 of the family's 1533-position model. The record is from RNAcentral.